This 192-nucleotide ribosomal RNA is filed under the name uncultured bacterium. Its description in RNAcentral is "partial 16S ribosomal RNA". It matches the Rfam family "Bacterial small subunit ribosomal RNA", at positions 338 to 521 of the family's 1533-position model. The record is from RNAcentral.
CCUACGGGAGGCAGCAGUGGGGAAUUUUUCGCAAUGGGCGAAAGCCUGACGACGCAACGCCGCGUGGAGGACGAAGAUCUUCGGGUUGUAAACUCCUGUCGAGCGGGAAGAACGACGUGCCGGUUAAUACCCGGUGCGUGUGACGGUACCGCUAGAGGAAGCCCCGGCUAACUCCGUGCCAGCAGCCGCGGU